GACGAACGCUGGCGGCGUGCUUAACACAUGCAAGUCGAACGGAAAGGCCCUGCUUUUGUGGGGUGCUCGAGUGGCGAACGGGUGAGUAACACGUGAGUAACCUGCCCUUGACUUUGGGAUAACUUCAGGAAACUGGGGCUAAUACCGGAUAGGAGCUCCUGCUGCAUGGUGGGGGUUGGAAAGUUUCGGCGGUUGGGGAUGGACUCGCGGCUUAUCAGCUUGUUGGUGGGGUAGUGGCUUACCAAGGCUUUGACGGGUAGCCGGCCUGAGAGGGUGACCGGCAACAUUGGGACGAGGAUCGGGCCCAACCUCUUACGGGGGGAAGAGGUGGGGAAAUUUGCACAAGGGGCGGAGGCUUGAGGCAGAAACCCCGCGGGCGGGAUGAGGCCUUUGGGGUUGAAACCGGCUUUCGCUGGGGAGGAAGGGUGGGUGAGGUAAAUGGGAAAAGAAGAACGGGUAAAUUCCGU
RNAcentral lists this ribosomal RNA (467 nucleotides) under uncultured bacterium. RNAcentral describes it as "partial 16S ribosomal RNA". It matches the Rfam family "Bacterial small subunit ribosomal RNA", at positions 28 to 506 of the family's 1533-position model. The record is from RNAcentral.